UACGUAGGGACCGAGCGUUGUCCGGAUUCAUUGGGCGUAAAGAGCUCGUAGGCGGCUGUUCAAGUCGAACGUGAAAACUCGGAGCUCAACUCCGAGCCUGCGUUCGAUACUGGACGGCUAGAGUCUGGUAGGGGGAUCUGGAAUUCCUGGUGUAGCGGUGGAAUGCGCAGAUAUCAGGAGGAACACCGGUGGCGAAGGCGGUUCUCUGGGCCUUACCUGACGCUGAGGAGCGAAAGCGUGGGGAGCAAACAGG
This 253-nucleotide ribosomal RNA is filed under the name uncultured bacterium. Its description in RNAcentral is "partial 16S ribosomal RNA". It matches the Rfam family "Bacterial small subunit ribosomal RNA", at positions 524 to 776 of the family's 1533-position model. The record is from RNAcentral.